RNAcentral lists this ribosomal RNA (353 nucleotides) under uncultured bacterium. Its description in RNAcentral is "bacterial SSU rRNA". It matches the Rfam family "Bacterial small subunit ribosomal RNA", at positions 8 to 350 of the family's 1533-position model. The record is from RNAcentral.
AGAGUUUGAUCAUGGCUCAGGAUGAACGCUAGCUACAGGCUUAACACAUGCAAGUCGAGGGGAAACGACAUCGAAAGCUUGCUUUUGAUGGGCGUCGACCGGCGCACGGGUGAGUAACGCGUAUCCAACCUGCCCACCACUUGGGGAUAACCUUGCGAAAGUAAGACUAAUACCCAAUGAUAUCUCUAGAAGACAUCUGAAAGAGAUUAAAGAUUUAUCGGUGAUGGAUGGGGAUGCGUCUGAUUAGCUUGUUGGCGGGGUAACGGCCACCAAGGCGACGAUCAGUAGGGGUUCUGAGAGGAAGGUCCCCCCANAUUGGAACUGAGACACGGUCCAAACUCCUACGGGGAGCA